GUUAGGAAUAUUGGACAAUGGGCGCAAGCCUGAUCCAGCCAUGCCGCGUGAACGAUGAAGGCCUUCGGGUUGUAAAGUUCUUUAGCCGAUGAUUAUAAUGACUGUAGUCGGAAAAUAAGCCCCGGCUAACUUCGUGCCAGCAGCCGCGGUAAUACGAAGGGGGCGAGCGUUAGUCGGAAUCACUGGGCGUAAAGCGUGCGUAGGCGGUCUCGUAAGUUAGGAGUGAAAGCCCAGGGCUCAACCUUGGAAUUGCUCUUAAAACUGCAAGGCUAGAAUCUCGGAGAGGAUAGCGGAAUUUCCAGUGUAGCAGUGAAAUGCGUAGAUAUUGGAAGGAACACCAGUGGCGUAAGCGGCUAUCUGGACGAGUAUUGACGCUGAGGCACGAAAGCGUGGGGAUCAAACAGGAUUAGAAACCCUGGUAGUCC
This 425-nucleotide ribosomal RNA is filed under the name uncultured bacterium. RNAcentral describes it as "partial 16S ribosomal RNA". It matches the Rfam family "Bacterial small subunit ribosomal RNA", at positions 354 to 796 of the family's 1533-position model. The record is from RNAcentral.